AGACUGUCCAUUGCAUUUCUUGUGAUCGC
This 29-nucleotide non-coding RNA is filed under the name Bombyx mori (domestic silkworm). The record is from RNAcentral. Lineage: Eukaryota; Metazoa; Arthropoda; Insecta; Lepidoptera; Bombycidae.